Molecule: transfer RNA, 73 nt
Filed under: Chelonia mydas (Green sea turtle)
Lineage: Eukaryota; Metazoa; Chordata; Testudines; Cheloniidae
Rfam family: tRNA
About the family: Transfer RNA (tRNA) molecules are approximately 80 nucleotides in length.
Source: Rfam by way of RNAcentral
GGGUCCAUACCUCAGAUCUUAGAGCACUGGUCUUGUAAACCAGGGGUUGAGAGUUCAAAUCUCACUGGAGCCU